Molecule: ribosomal RNA, 253 nt
Filed under: uncultured bacterium
Lineage: Bacteria
Description: partial 16S ribosomal RNA
Rfam family: Bacterial small subunit ribosomal RNA
Source: RNAcentral
UACGAGGGGGGCAAGCGUUGUCCGGAAUUAUUGGGCGUAAAGCGCGCGCAGGCGGUCUUUUAAGUCUGAUGUGAAAGCCCACGGCUCAACCGUGGAGGGUCAUUGGAAACUGGGAGACUUGAGUGCAGAAGAGAAGAGUGGAAUUCCACGUGUAGCGGUGAAAUGCGUAGAGAUGUGGAGGAACACCAGUGGCGAAGGCGGCUUUCUGGUCUGUAACUGACGCUGAGGCGCGAAAGCGUGGGGAGCAAACAGG